This is a long non-coding RNA of Podarcis muralis (Common wall lizard), 841 nucleotides long. RefSeq lists it as uncharacterized. Lineage: Eukaryota; Metazoa; Chordata; Lepidosauria; Squamata; Lacertidae. The record is from RefSeq and is a predicted model, not a curated record.
CAGCCCUUUACACCGGCGUCAAGACGGAGAAAGGGAGGCGCUUCCCGGAGCGGAUUGCAAGCCGCCCCCUUCCUCCGCCUCACCCCAACAGGUGCAGCCGGCGCGCCAAAGGGGCCGGGCGGCUUUUCAGGGGCCGUUGGCUACCGGGUUUCCCAGGCCAACUCGGGAGGCUCCGCUUGGCGACCGCCCAGGCCUCAAAGGUGGCCCUUGCCCGACCCACCGGAGAAAGGGAGAGGUGGGGCCGAUUGCCUCCGGGCGGCGAGGGAAAAGAGGCGCGCCAGGCUCCCCGCGUGGGCCAGGGAGGCGCGCCCCGCCCGGCUCCCCCCGACGUGCGCCUCCACUCACCGUAUAGAGCAGGUUGAGGGCGCACAGGCAGUUCUUGGAGCAGGAGAAGCCGCCGCAAACCAUCGCGCCUCUGCGCUUGUGGCCGCCGCUACUGCGGCGAUCGCCCGCCGAUCGAGUAGAUUUCAAUAGCUGGGGGUGUUGGGUGUGGAUCUACUCUACCCCACCCCCUCUUUGGCUAUCUGAGGAGCGGUCCUCAGCUGCCGGAGGAUCGCACGCUCCUGGCAGAAAGGAUCAGAGGCGGCGAGGGCGGCGGAGAAGCCCCUGUUUCCCAGCGAGCUGGAAGAAGCGGCGGCUGCACCAGCUAUGGGAAGCUCGAGGGGGCCGGGCCAGGAGCAGCAGCCGCGCGCGCCCAUUGGCUGGCCGGAGGAGACAAAGGUUCCUUGCCACCCUGAGACUGAAGACAACAUCGACAUCAUCAAAAUAAAAUUUUGGCCCCUUUGUUGUCUUUCAAUGGCAUCGCUGGCAAGUGGACAAUAUAUCUAAGCAGCGGGAAUCA